Molecule: small nuclear RNA, 102 nt
Organism: Ipomoea triloba (trilobed morning glory)
Lineage: Eukaryota; Viridiplantae; Streptophyta; Magnoliopsida; Solanales; Convolvulaceae
Source: RefSeq, a predicted model, not a curated record
GUCUCUUCAGAAACAUCCGAUAAAAUUAAAACGAUACAAAGAAAAUUAGCAUGCCCCUGCGCAAGGGUAACACGCACAAAUCGAGAAAUACGCCCAUAUAGU